RNAcentral lists this ribosomal RNA (489 nucleotides) under uncultured bacterium. RNAcentral's name for it is "partial 16S ribosomal RNA". It matches the Rfam family "Bacterial small subunit ribosomal RNA", at positions 30 to 507 of the family's 1533-position model. The record is from RNAcentral.
UUGAACGCUGGCGGCAGGCCUAACACAUGCAAGUCGAACGGUAACAGGAAGAAGCUUGCUUCUUUGCUGACGAGUGGCGGACGGGCGAGUAAUGUCUGGGAAACUGCCUGAUGGAGGGGGAUAACUACUGGAAACGGUAGCUAAUACCGCAUAACGUCGCAAGACCAAAGAGGGGGACCUUCGGGCCUCUUGCCAUCGGAUGUGCCCAGAUGGGAUUAGCUAGUAGGUGGGGUAACGGCUCACCUAGGCGACGAUCCCUAGCUGGUCUGAGAGGAUGACCAGCCACACUGGAACUGAGACACGGUCCAGACUCCUACGGGAGGCAGCAGUGGGGAAUAUUGCACAAUGGGCGCAAGCCUGAUGCAGCCAUGCCGCGUGUAUGAAGAAGGCCUUCGGGUUGUAAAGUACUUUCAGCGGGGAGGAAGGGAGUAAAGUUAAUACCUUUGCUCAUUGACGUUACCCGCAGAAGAAGCACCGGCUAACUCCGUG